UUCCUACGGGGGGCAGCAGUGGGGAAUAUUGCACAAUGGGGGAAACCCUGAUGCAGCGACGCCGCGUGAGUGAAGAAGUAAUUCGUUACGUAAAGCUCUAUCAGCAGGGAAGAGAGUGACGGUACCUGAGUAAGAAGCCCCGGCUAACUACGUGCCAGCAGCCGCGGUAAUACGUAGGGGGCAAGCGUUAUCCGGAUUUACUGGGUGUAAAGGGAGCGUAGACGGCGAAGAAAGUCUGGAGUGAAAGCCCGCGGCUUAACCGCGGAACUGCUUUGGAAACUUUUUGGCUGGAGUACCGGAGAGGU
RNAcentral lists this ribosomal RNA (305 nucleotides) under uncultured bacterium. Its description in RNAcentral is "bacterial SSU rRNA". It matches the Rfam family "Bacterial small subunit ribosomal RNA", at positions 336 to 658 of the family's 1533-position model. The record is from RNAcentral.